RNAcentral lists this long non-coding RNA (973 nucleotides) under Brassica rapa (field mustard). RNAcentral's name for it is "long non-coding RNA (BRAP_LNC007893)". Lineage: Eukaryota; Viridiplantae; Streptophyta; Magnoliopsida; Brassicales; Brassicaceae. The record is from RNAcentral.
AAAAUAUAUUGCCAUUAGCUGGUACAUGUUAGAUUAGAUGUUACAAAACAUGUUGCCGCUGAUGGUUAGUGGUUGUAAAAUAUCGUAAAUAAUUGUUGUAAAUGAUACAAAAGUUGUUAACAACUACAAAAUAGGUUAGCGACAAUGAUGAAUGUUUUGUUAGAAUGCACGUAUAAAGAACAGUAACCUACGCUUGUCCUUGGAGAGAUCAAACCAAAUCCAACAAUAGUCCUCUUUAUGUCUUACGUGUGUUUCCUCUAGGGGUAAAAUAGUCAAGUGGUACACAAUUGUCUACAGUAAAAGAGAGUUUUUUUUAUGGAUUUGGGUAGUUUUCAAAUUUCUGCUCCAAUAUGGUAUAUUUUGCCAAUAAUCUCUUCAAAGAAAGCGAUAUGGUUUUUUUUUUUUUUUUUGGUGGUGGAUAUGGUUUUAAUCUCUUCUGGUGUGGUGGUGGUAUUUGUGUAUUUCUGUGAUAAUUUGAACGGGGAAGAAUAAAAAUAUGAUAAUUUUAACUAAUCAUAUUUUGAUCUCCUCGAACGAAUCACAUUUACAUGUGCAGUUGAGGUGUUCAAAUGCUACAAGUCUACAACCCUAUUGACAUUUUCAACAGUUGUCUGAGAUGGUCUGACUGAUUAUCUUUUUAGAACCGUGAGAUGGCACACAUGUCUUCACUCAAAAUUGUAAAAAAAUGUUUAUUAAAAGUUGUAGAAUUUGGUAAUGGUAACUCACUCGGUGUACUGCUUAGACUUCUAAAGAGGACCAUGUUUAAAGCUACGAGCUGGAUCAUCGAUGACCGGACGAGAAUUAGUUUGACGUGCUCUAUCUAUUCUUCGGUCCAAUGAGAUGGAUCUAUAUCCGAUGUUUUUUGGUUAAAAAAAACAUUGUAGACAUUGUCAUAAGUACAUACUAUGCCUUUUCUUAAAAGAAAAUCAUCAGUGAUAUUUUAAGUUUUAUGACAAACGACUUGUAAUGUCUU